Salvia hispanica is the source of this 221-nucleotide non-coding RNA. NCBI's taxonomy places the organism in Eukaryota, Viridiplantae, Streptophyta, Magnoliopsida, Lamiales, Lamiaceae. The record is from RefSeq and is a predicted model, not a curated record.
CGCCGAUUCUAUCUCACAAAAGCUGCUGUUUUGGUUCGUGGUGUGGGUUGAUAGUCGAAUCAUCUCCUGGACAUAAAAAAGAUAUAGAAUGACUAAAAGAGGCCGGCCGUACAAAAGCCAACCGGAACCCAGUGAAGCAUCUAAGCAGCGUCGGGUUGAGUUUGCUCAAGAGCGGUUGGAUUGAUUGCAAGAGUAAUCAUUAGAAACGCUAUUGACGUUAA